UCCCUGGUAGCCCAGUGGUUAGGACUCAGGGCUUUCACUGCCCUGGCCCAAGGUUCAAUCCCUGGUCAGGGAA
Molecule: transfer RNA, 73 nt
Filed under: Bos taurus (domestic cattle)
Lineage: Eukaryota; Metazoa; Chordata; Mammalia; Artiodactyla; Bovidae
Also listed under: 1 other name
Rfam family: tRNA
About the family: Transfer RNA (tRNA) molecules are approximately 80 nucleotides in length. Their secondary structure includes four short double-helical elements and three loops (D, anti-codon, and T loops).
Source: Rfam by way of RNAcentral